Molecule: ribosomal RNA, 429 nt
Filed under: Chloroflexota bacterium
Lineage: Bacteria; Bacillati; Chloroflexota
Description: Chloroflexi bacterium partial 16S ribosomal RNA
Rfam family: Bacterial small subunit ribosomal RNA
Source: RNAcentral
UGGGGAAUAUUGCACAAUGGGCGCAAGCCUGAUGCAGCCAUGCCGCGUGUAUGAAGAAGGCCUUCGGGUCGUAAAGUACUUUCAGUCGGGAGGAAGGUGUCAAGGUUAAUAACCUUGGCAAUUGACGUUACCGACAGAAGAAGCACCGGCUAACUCCGUGCCAGCAGCCGCGGUAAUACGGAGGGUGCAAGCGUUAAUCGGAAUUACUGGGCGUAAAGCGCACGCAGGCGGUUGAUUGAGUCAGAUGUGACAUCCCCGGGCUUAACCCGGGAAUUGCAUCUGAUACUGGUCAGCUAGAGUCUUGUAGAGGGGGGUAGAAUUCCAUGUGUAGCGGUGAAAUGCGUAGAGAUGUGGAGGAAUACCGGUGGCGAAGGCGGCCCCCUGGACAAAGACUGACGCUCAGGUGCGAAAGCGUGGGGAGCAAACAGG